This 487-nucleotide long non-coding RNA is filed under the name Homo sapiens (human). RNAcentral describes it as "non-protein coding lnc-HIST2H2BF-5:2". The record is from RNAcentral. Lineage: Eukaryota; Metazoa; Chordata; Mammalia; Primates; Hominidae.
UUCAUUUUAGAAUGUUAUCUUGGUAUGUUUAAAAGGAAAAACUUAAGAUGUGUUGCAAUUGCAGUAUGAGUUUCAGGUAUGUACAUGUUAUGUGUGUGUGUGAGAGACACACACAAACACAUUUCAAAUAUGUUUUAUGUUUAAGCUCAAUAUUCAAACACAGAAAUAUAACAUCUAUUCUUAAUAUGUUUUAUGUAAGUACAGCAGCAGCAUUAUUAAAUACUGUAUUUCUAUGGUGAUUGAAAAUUAGUAGGCAGAGAAUUUUUGUAAUGGUUCUUAAUAAUUUUUGUAAUAGUAAAUGAUUACUUUUUGUUUAGUAUAGUUUUAUAAUCUAUACAUGAAUAAAGUGGAUAUUUCUAUUCAUAUAGAAAUGUGAUUUACUCUCAUGUACUUAUCUACAUGCUAAAACCAUAAGUUAUCAAUUUUAGUUCUGUGCCAAGGCACUUUUACUGAAUAAAAAUAAUCAGCUAAUUUUAUAUUUUCCUGA